Long non-coding RNA from Lolium rigidum, 625 nucleotides. RefSeq lists it as uncharacterized. The record is from RefSeq and is a predicted model, not a curated record. The transcript is spliced from 2 exons. NCBI's taxonomy places the organism in Eukaryota, Viridiplantae, Streptophyta, Magnoliopsida, Poales, Poaceae.
GCGGUGGCCACGUCGAUUAAAAGCGGUCAGAGGCAGUACUAAUCUAAUGCCAAUGCAAUCCAUCGAAGGUUAAGGGCUAGCAUUUCUCGUACUGAGAUACUAACUCACACAUUCAAAGGUAUGAAAACUGGAAAGUUGUUAUUUGUUCAAUGUAUGAAAAAUUUCGCUUAUUCUUAGAAGUAAGCAUAUGCAAAUAAUUGUCAUUUUGUUCAAAACUGUUGUUGGACUCACAAGAGCAGUCACAAAAAAAGAGAUAUAUUAUAGUGGUGGUGCUCUAGAGCAGUUUGUUCUAUUUUAUAUGUGAACGUAGGGUCCGCAUACUACUUACUAAUAUCUAACAACGGACUUGCUGAGAAAAUAGGAAUGCCCGCGUGGUGACGAUAAGUAUGUGGAAAAGAAGUAAGAAAUGAGGACGAUGACACUUACUGUCAUGCAGGAAGAAAGAAGGAAGAAGUCGACUCUCAUCGACCAUUGGUCUGAAAUGAAGUUCGGUGCAUGUCACUCUUGAUUUAUUGUUUUGAGAAAUAUAAAAGGCAUGUAUCUUUUCUAUAGUUUUCUGCCCAUAUUAUGUUGAAUGGUGGUGCAUAUGAUGUUGAAUUAUGAGAAGUGAAAAUUUUGAUGUUUC